This 274-nucleotide ribosomal RNA is filed under the name uncultured bacterium. RNAcentral's name for it is "partial 16S ribosomal RNA". It matches the Rfam family "Bacterial small subunit ribosomal RNA", at positions 523 to 796 of the family's 1533-position model. The record is from RNAcentral.
AUACGAAGGGGGCUAGCGUUGUUCGGAAUCACUGGGCGUAAAGCGCGCGUAGGUGGAUCAAUUAGUUGAGGGUGAAAUCCCGGGGCUCAACCUCGGAACUGCCUUCAAUACUGGUGAUCUUGAGACCGAGAGAGGUGAGUGGAAUUCCUAGUGUAGAGGUGAAAUUCGUAGAUAUUAGGAAGAACACCAGUGGCGAAGGCGGCUCACUGGCUCGGUACUGACGCUGAGGUGCGAAAGCGUGGGGAGCAAACAGGAUUAGAAACCCUAGUAGUCC